RNAcentral lists this small nuclear RNA (114 nucleotides) under Rhizopus delemar RA 99-880. Lineage: Eukaryota; Fungi; Mucoromycota; Mucoromycetes; Mucorales; Rhizopodaceae. RNAcentral also lists the same sequence under 1 other name. The record is from RNAcentral.
GACACGUCUUUGACCUCUGUCACUUAUUAAAAUUGGAACGAUACAGAGAAGAUUAGCAUUGCCCCUGCACUUUAUAUGGCUGAAUUGAUUUUUAAAAAUAAGCAAAAAUCGGUA